UACAGAGGGUGCAAGCGUUGUUCGGAAUUAUUGGGCGUAAAGGGCGUGUAGGCGGUUUGCUAAGUCAUGUGUGAAAUCCCCCGGCUUAACCGAGGAACGACGCAUGAUACUGGCAAGCUAGAGUACCAAAGAGGGGGGUGGAAUUCCCGGUGUAGCGGUGAAAUGCGCAGAUAUCAGGAGGAACACCGGUGGCGAAGGCGGCUUGCUGGGCCUUACCUGACGCUGAGGAGCGAAAGCGUGGGGAGCGAACAGG
RNAcentral lists this ribosomal RNA (253 nucleotides) under uncultured bacterium. RNAcentral describes it as "partial 16S ribosomal RNA". It matches the Rfam family "Bacterial small subunit ribosomal RNA", at positions 524 to 776 of the family's 1533-position model. The record is from RNAcentral.